This 497-nucleotide ribosomal RNA is filed under the name uncultured bacterium. RNAcentral describes it as "partial 16S ribosomal RNA". It matches the Rfam family "Bacterial small subunit ribosomal RNA", at positions 28 to 507 of the family's 1533-position model. The record is from RNAcentral.
GACGAACGCUGGCGGCGUGCCUAAUACAUGCAAGUUGAGCGCUGAAGGUUGGUACUUGUACCAACUGGAUGAGCAGCGAACGGGUGAGUAACGCGUGGGGAAUCUGCCUUUGAGCGGGGGACAACAUUUGGAAACGAAUGCUAAUACCGCAUAAAAACUUUAAACACAAGGUUUAAGUUUGAAAGAUGCAAUUGCAUCACUCAAAGAUGAUCCCGCGUUGUAUUAGCUAGUUGGUGAGGUAAAGGCUCACCAAGGCGAUGAUACAUAGCCGACCUGAUAGGGUGAUCGGCCACAUUGGGACUGAGACACGGCCCAAACUCCUACGGGAGGCAGCAGUAGUGAAUCUUAGGCAAUGGACGAAAGUCUGACCGAGCAACGCCGAGUGAGUGAAGAAGGUUUUCGGAUCGUAAAACUCUGUUGGUAGAGAAGAACGUUGGUGAGAGUGGAAAGCUCAUCAAGUGACGGUAACUACCCAGAAAGGGACGGCUAACUACGUG